UAGGGAAUCUUCGGCAAUGGACGGAAGUCUGACCGAGCAACGCCGCGUGAGUGAAGAAGGUUUUCGGAUCGUAAAGCUCUGUUGUUAGAGAAGAACGCUGGUAGGAGUGGAAAAUCUACCAAGUGACGGUAACUAACCAGAAAGGGACGGCUAACUACGUGCCAGCAGCCCCGGUAAUACGUAGGUCCCGAGCGUUGUCCGGAUUUAUUGGGCGUAAUGCGAGCGCAGGCGGUUCUUUAAGUCUGAAGUUAAAGGCAGUGGCUUAACGAUUGUACGCUUUGGAAACUGGAGGACUUGAGUGCAGGAGGGGGGAGUGGAAUUCCAUGUGUAGCGGUGAAAUGCGUAGAUAUAUGGAGGAACACCGGUGGCGAAAGCGGCUAUCUGGUCGGUAACUGACGCUGAGGCUCGAAAGCGUGGGGAGCAAACAGG
Molecule: ribosomal RNA, 429 nt
Filed under: Bacillota bacterium
Lineage: Bacteria; Bacillati; Bacillota
Description: Firmicutes bacterium partial 16S ribosomal RNA
Rfam family: Bacterial small subunit ribosomal RNA
Source: RNAcentral